UUCUCAUUCGUCACCGGUUUAGUGAAGAAAGAAAUUAUUUGGGGUUGAAUUGUUUUCUUUUCUUCUCUUCUUCUUCUCAGAGGUCGUCGAACUGGUUUUAUCAAAGAGCUCACAAACGAUAUGGUGAAGUUUUACCAAACGUGUGAUCCUGAGAAGGAGAACUUGUGCCUCUAUGGACUUCCAUGAACCUCUUCGGCCACCAUGAACCUCUUCGUUGUCCUUUCAGCUGUCACCUUCCUCGUUAUCUCCGUCGCCUAUCUUCCUCUGCUCAGCGACUUAUGUAGUCAACGCCUUAUACCAUUCCCAGCUCCCUUCUUCUCAAAUUUGGACUGUUCCCAGCUUUGCCACUCUCAAGAUGCAAAAGAAGGCUCAUGGAUUCUAGGAGGUGGAGGGAACAAUGAUGUUUGGGGAGGAGAAAUGCCCUCUGCAUCAUGGAUUGAUGAAAUUUCCCCUCAUAAUCAUGUUGCAGUCUUAUGUGGCUUUGGGUCAUUCAUCUUGGCUUCACGGUUUGUUUACUGAAGAAAGAAGGUAUUGCUUAAUUGAAUUUGAGUUUUUAAUAUAGUUUGGGAGGGUUAGAUGGAAUUUUUUGUAUAAACCCGUGGCCUUGCUUUGGUUUAGUUUAGCAAGGGUUUGUAGUUGUCUUUUAGCUCAUUCAGUUGUUGAAUUGGAGCUUUCUCUGUAUGCUUGUGAUGUAUUUUUUUAAAUCUAUCAAUACAACACCAGUUGAUUAAA
Molecule: long non-coding RNA, 732 nt
Organism: Capsella rubella
Lineage: Eukaryota; Viridiplantae; Streptophyta; Magnoliopsida; Brassicales; Brassicaceae
Exons: 5
Source: RefSeq, a predicted model, not a curated record